GACGAGCGCUGGCGGCGUGCCUAAUACAUGCAAGUAGAACGCUGAAGGAGGAGCUUGCUCUUCUGGAUGAGUUGCGAACGGGUGAGUAACGCGUAGGUAACCUGCCUGGUAGCGGGGGAUAACUAUUGGAAACGAUAGCUAAUACCGCAUAACAGUAGAUGUUGCAUGACAUUUGCUUAAAAGGUGCAAUUGCAUCACUACCAGAUGGACCUGCGUUGUAUUAGCUAGUUGGUGGGGUAACGGCUCACCAAGGCGACGAUACAUAGCCGACCUGAGAGGGUGAUCGGCCACACUGGGACUGAGACACGGCCCAGACUCCUACGGGAGGCAGCAGUAGGGAAUCUUCGGCAAUGGACGGAAGUCUGACCGAGCAACGCCGCGUGAGUGAAGAAGGUUUUCGGAUCGUAAAGCUCUGUUGUAAGUGAAGAACGAGUGUGAGAGUGGAAAGUUCACACUGUGACGGUAUCUUACCAGAAAGGGACGGCUAACUACGUG
This 495-nucleotide ribosomal RNA is filed under the name uncultured bacterium. RNAcentral describes it as "partial 16S ribosomal RNA". It matches the Rfam family "Bacterial small subunit ribosomal RNA", at positions 28 to 507 of the family's 1533-position model. The record is from RNAcentral.